Molecule: ribosomal RNA, 517 nt
Filed under: uncultured fungus
Lineage: Eukaryota; Fungi
Description: SSU rRNA
Rfam family: Eukaryotic small subunit ribosomal RNA
Source: RNAcentral
AUAAAAAACCAACGCCCUUCGGGGCUUCUUGGUGAUUCAUGAUAACUUUUCGGAUCGCAUAGCCUUGCGCUGGCGACGGUUCAUUCAAAUUUCUGCCCUAUCAACUUUCGAUGGUAAGGUAUUGGCUUACCAUGGUUUCAACGGGUAACGGGGAAUUAGGGUUCGAUUCCGGAGAGGGAGCCUGAGAAACGGCUACCACAUCCAAGGAAGGCAGCAGGCGCGCAAAUUACCCAAUCCCGAUUCGGGGAGGUAGUGACAAUAAAUACUGAUACAGGGCUCUUUUGGGUCUUGUAAUUGGAAUGAGUACAAUUUAAACCUCUUAACGAGGAACAAUUGGAGGGCAAGUCUGGUGCCAGCAGCCGCGGUAAUUCCAGCUCCAAUAGCGUAUAUUAAAGUUGUUGCAGUUAAAAAGCUCGUAGUUGAAACUUGGGUCUGGCUGGCAGGUCCGCCUCACCGCGUGUACUUGUCCGGCCGGACCUUCCUUCUGGAGAACCUCAUGCCCUUCACUGGGCGUGUU